Molecule: ribosomal RNA, 493 nt
Filed under: uncultured bacterium
Lineage: Bacteria
Description: partial 16S ribosomal RNA
Rfam family: Bacterial small subunit ribosomal RNA
Source: RNAcentral
AUUGAACGCUGGCGGCAUGCUUUACACAUGCAAGUCGAACGGUAACAGGUUAAGCUGACGAGUGGCGAACGGGUGAGUAAUGCAUCGGAACGUGCUCGCUCGUGGGGGAUAACGCAGCGAAAGCUGCGCUAAUACCGCAUACGACCUGAGGAUGACAGCGGGGGACCGUAAGGCCUCGCGCGAUCGGAGCGGCCGAGGUCGGAUUAGGUAGUUGGGGGGGUAAAGGCUCACCAAGCCAACGAUCUGCAGCUGGUCUGAGAGGACGACCAGCCACACUGGGACUGAGACACGGCCCAGACUCCUACGGGGGGCAGCAGUGGGGAAUUUUGGACAAUGGGCGAAAGCCUGAUCCAGCAAUGCCGCGUGUAUGAAGAAGGCCUUCGGGUUGUAAAGUGCUUUUGUACGGAGCGAAAAGGCUCUCUCUAAUACAGUGGGGUCAUGACGGUACCGUAAGAAUAAGCACCGGCUAACUACGUGCCAGCCGCCGCGGUAA